This is a non-coding RNA of Podarcis lilfordi (Lilford's wall lizard), 220 nucleotides long. The record is from the annotation of a GenBank genome assembly. NCBI's taxonomy places the organism in Eukaryota, Metazoa, Chordata, Lepidosauria, Squamata, Lacertidae.
ACUUUAAAGCACUAUGUCUGAGCAGGUUUGUUUGUUUUUGUUUUUGCACCAGUGCUGUCCCUGUGAAAACCCACUCUUUAAUGCUGAAUCGGAACAAAUGGCAAUCCAGGUUUUCUUGGAUUGCCAUUUGCUCAAAUUCAGUGGUAAAGAACGGGGCUUCAUGGGGAAAGGGCUGGGGCAAAAAAACAAAAAAAAAUGCUUCGAUGUGGCGCUCUAAAGC